UCAUUUUUAUUUUCUUGUGAACCUCUUGUAUAUCCCUCAAAGGUGAUAUAGAUUCCAAAUUUGGGGCUUGCUUAAGGUACAGAUCUUCUGAAUCUAAAAUCUAAGUUUCUUAUUAUGCCCAUCCUUAACCUUCUGAAGGCCCCUCAUUUUCAAUUGAUUGUUCCUAGAAAUUAGCUCAUCAUCAGAGCUUACAGAAGAAGUAGAAGAACCAUCGCCUUUACUGCCUACGACUCUUGUCCUUACCUCACCCUUGAGGUUAUCAUAAAGAACAUAAAUACAUUUAAUUUGGAUUUGUGGUGAAGAAAAUGAUGAAUUAGAUUUGGAUUUCGGCUACGGAUCUAGAUUGUUGGCGUUUUAGAACUUGGUUUCUUUGAUUUUGAUGAGUUUUAAAAUUUUUAUUUUGAAUUAUUUUGGAUUUGGAUUUGUGAUGUAGAUGUUUGAGUUAUUUUGGAUUUGUUGAUGGUGUAGAUGGAGGUCUGUGGGGA
This 485-nucleotide long non-coding RNA is filed under the name Panax ginseng (ginseng). RNAcentral's name for it is "long non-coding RNA (PGIN_LNC008333)". Lineage: Eukaryota; Viridiplantae; Streptophyta; Magnoliopsida; Apiales; Araliaceae. The record is from RNAcentral.